This is a long non-coding RNA of Bombus impatiens (common eastern bumble bee), 4754 nucleotides long. RefSeq lists it as uncharacterized. The transcript has 2 exons. NCBI's taxonomy places the organism in Eukaryota, Metazoa, Arthropoda, Insecta, Hymenoptera, Apidae. The record is from RefSeq and is a predicted model, not a curated record.
UGAUCUUUAUCACGACCUACUAUGCAGACAUCAAAAUAGAUCGAUGGAUCCGAUAAGCAAGGAGAUACGAUCGACCUGGUUACGCUAUCUCGAUGAUUUAAGGUGUAGCAGUCAUUCGAGUCACUCGAUGAAUUGAGAACAAGUGAUCGCGUUAAAGGCUGAUAGAUAUUCACACGGUAAAUCGACGAUGGAGUCUGUUUUCGAAUUGUGCGCCUCUGGUACAGCGAAUUGCCGGACGUGGUUGACGCGCGCGAUUGAAAAUAGACGCUUCCGGUUUCUCCUGGACACGUGCACGGGAUUCAAGGCACGUAAUGUGUGCCACGGAACUUGACCGAACCUCACAAAGCGAGAGUUCAAUUGAACAGCCGUUGGCGUUCUUCGCGCGAUUUGCAGCUGCGAGUAACCGGCACCGAUUACGAAUUCGUUUUCAACGCCUCUCGUCUCUCGACUCUAUUGUUAAUAAGUGACGUUCAUUUCCUCUAUUAGGAUUGGAAAGCGAAACGAAGCGAUCUUGGAAUUGUUCCCGAGCUCGAUGCAGUUUCGCAAUUACCUUUCUGAAAGAUUCUACAGAGAGAGGCAGAAAGAGAGUGAAAUACACGAAUAAACUUUUUACCCAGAUUCUUGGCAUAAUGAGCCAUUUCCAUUCGUAUUGCUGCGUUGUUUGUAUAAUAAUCGUGUUGCUGUUUGUGGGAAUAAUUAUAUGUAAUUAUAUAUAAUUAUCGUAUACAAUUGUUUCAAUUUCUUUUAUGGAUUUAUCAUGUCGUUCCACGAUCUCGAUGCUGUUUUUUGACGAUAUCGACCUCAAGAUAUUUACUAUCAAAUAAUAUCGAUAAAAUUAUCACAAAGACGCGAGAGAAAAAACACAUAUAGGAAUGAUACGAAAAAAAGUUUCAAUUAAUUUUAUCUCUUGUCUGUUUUUGCAAAGUUUGAACACAUACGUGUGAAAGAUGUCUUAUAUCAAUUAAAAAACAAUCCUUGUCAUUCUAAAUCUGAAUCGUCAUUACAUUUACCUAUGGUUUUACCUGCCAUUAAGAUGAAAAUGAAACAGUCCUUGAAAUAACAUGGAUAUAGUACAGCGGACUGUUCGAACGAAAGUCACGUUGAGCAAACUUGCUAAUUCCAUUUGUCGUAUCAAGGUAAGCAGAGAUUGGUGCAAAUGAAAAAUCGGAUACGCGUAUCGACGAGUUGACAAUUGGAAAAUUGCGAAUGCAGAAUGCUUUCAUGUUAGCAUUGAGAAAAUUUGAAAGAAUUACUUGUUAACAUACGAUAAAAAUCCUAUCAGCUGCGAACGUGUUGAACAGCUUUGUGACGCGGUUGGUCUUAUCUUAUCAUCAUGGCCGUUGUGACGUUUGCACCUCAGUUCGUUGUUGAAUCUCGUAAGCUUCAAGACACCGAUGAAUCGAGCAUCCGGGCAUUACGUAUCGAGAAAUCGCGACUCGCUUCUCGGAAGUGAAUCCAGUGCAAGAAGGGUGAAAUCAACUUCGUUGAUUGCUUUUGAUAUAACAAUGACUAUACUAUAUAUGGAACAUAGACUCUUAAAUAUAAAGAGGAUAAUGGUUCUCUUAAUUCUUAAUUCUCUGUCGUAUAAACUGUGAACGUUACGUAACGCGAAAGACACUGAUUUAAACAAUAUGAAAAAAUGAUUCCAAUGGUCUGUAAACUGGAAAUUCUGAUAUUGUCAUGGUAAUCUAAAUCCUGUGUAAAAAAUUAAUAAAACUUACCUAAUAUCUAAGAGAGAAAAUCUCUGUUUAGAAAAUAUCUGUGUCAUUUUAUCCAAUGAAGCGGUAACUGUAUUUAUUAUACUUAUUACGCAUAUAUUUUUACCAUUUGCUAGAUAUUUAUUGAUAUUUCCACGACAGGAAUAGAUAUCGCGUUUUUCUUUUUUUGAACGUCAUUCCGGAGACUUGCAAACUUUAUUUGUUAAAAUUUCGUUACCAAACUACGUACUACGAUAGUUUUGAUACAGUUAAGCGCUAUACAAAUAUUUUUCACACCGAUCGUAUCUUUUUUCUCAUUGUAAAGAAACAGCGAAAAAUAGAACGAUGAAGCGGAUACCAAUGAAAAUCGCAAUGGUAGUACACGUUCAUUCACUGGAGUCGCGAGAUUAUAACUUUAUUUCGCUGCUAUUUACGCAACUGUGUUCGCCGGUCGUAAAAUCGCACGGAUAACAUUUAAUGGAUGAAAAUGUUAAGCAACGGAACCUACGAUCCUGAGAAACAGUAAGGAAUACACGCGCGAGAUUACACGGCGGGUGUUCGAUGGAAAAUGUCAGAGCUGGGUGCGCCGUGGUUUGUUAUGUGUUUGUUUGCGCGCUAUUGUAACACCGUGCAAUGUUAAAUGCGAACCAAAGAGACAAUCCCCGGGCGAUUGUUUGUUCUAGAACCCUGGUAAUCACGAGAUUUCGCGAAUAAGCGCUCCCCUGGGAAUAAUUAGAAGCACAGCGAAUCCGUGAAAACGGAGAAAUAUUUUAGCGAAUCUUGGAACACUGGCAAAGUUGGUCUUCUACUCUGCUAUUAUCUACCACUAAUUAUACUGCAGAUCUUCCACGAGAUCUUCGGAGAUUGAGAGAGAUCUCGCAGAGACUGUCAAGACAUCUCGUCUAAAGCAAUCGACGACAGAGCGUAUCGAUGUGUAUGGAGAUUUUCGAAUGCAACAAAGGAAACAAUAAUCGACUCUUCGAUUGUUUCAACGUCUCUUCAAACUUGCCGUUCGUAUAGUUGCUAAACGCUAAAGGCAAAUUCGAUGGUUGGAAUCUCGCGUUUCAAUCCGAGUUGACAAACUCUACGGAGAAGUUGAAACCAUUUCGAAGCUGGAUUGUACGAAAAUACCGACGUGUACCAGUCUACGGCUACAGAAUUCAAUUAAAUGGGAGACAGUACGGAAUUGUUGGGCGCAAGCAACGGCACUACGGCAGAGAAUGGCAAAGAUCUAGGUGCGCUAAAGCGUCUGCGGUGAAAUAAAGUAUACGUAGAAGGACUGAAACCGUAAUCCGGCCAAGCGAGCCAGUCUCUUGACCUGACAUUUAAUGCUCUUACACAAGUUGCAACUACCCGUUGCUCUUUGUCCGCCAAGAUGGUGCUAUUCAUCGAAACGAUACGAGUAGGCCAAAAGGAGGGACGGGCCAAUGAUUUUAUCGUGUCGCGUUUGAAUGUGCUCGACGCACCGCAAUUUGCUAUUUUCCACGGUAUAUGUACCAUAUCAGUUGCGAAAUCGACGUUGGUAUUGUCUUGUCAGCGGAGAUUUGUUGGAACAGACUUUUGCGAAUACGACUAGUGAUCGUUAUUAUCAUUAUUAGCAUAGUCCUGAAUCGGAUAUGAGAAUUCAUCGAAUACGCGUGCAAUAAACACUCUGUAUAAUCAGACACGUGCGAGUUCCACCGUGAAAUUGAGAUUUCCACGGUUCUAGAGGCACGGCGAGCAGAUAUGGGAAACCUCGCCGGUUACAACGAUGGAUUGUUCGCACUAGCAAGUCGUGUUCGUCGGGGAUUCCAAUUCUGAAAUUGAUUAAAUCAUUUGACUUGCGGUGGUACACGUCCGGUGCUUACUACCAAGUACAAAUCCGAAACACUUGCUAACUUUGAUAGAUUCGAAAUCGAGUUUGACCGGAACAGAAUGUGCGCGACGAUGUCUUGUAGACGUAUCUAUACGUUGUACAAGGUUUAAUUGGAGUUAAGUGAAACGAAUUACUAUGUAGUAAACAAAUUAAGUAUAGCGGUGCCGAUGUCACGGCACUGGCUGAUAAAGGAAAUCGAAUAACUGGAGAAUGAAAAGAGACAAUUUUAACCUGUGUUUCUUCGCGAUACAGAAGAAAAACAUGAGAAUUAAUGGUACGAUGAUUCAGAGUGCGUCGACUAUCUUUAACUGCUGCUCAGCAGCGAGACCGUUCUCAAAAUAUUUAAUUAUACGAUCAGUGAGGCUUCUUUCAACCGUGGAAUCUUUUCCAAGUUCUGGCAAAUAAUCUUUCUUUAAAAAUAAAAAAUAAAGUGAAUUCCUAUGUAAAGCUUUUCAAAAAAUUAUCUUCCAGAGAUAAGUAAUCUAAGCGACUGGUUAACUGGUGCGUGUUGCACGAUUUAAUGGGUUAACGGGUUUCGUUCGAUGCGACGACUUUCGACUAUCGCGGCGAAUCAACGAUCAGGAGAGAACCGAGUAACUUACAGGAUCAGAAAUGAAACAUUAUGAUAGUACGGGCCUCGUGCGUUGCGUGGGUCAUUGAGAGUGUCACGCGUGACGUGGGAGCGUGUGUACGCAGAGGUAUGUCAGAGAAAAUACGGCGGAAACACGCACCAGCCGGCGGCACCAGCGAGGGAAAAGAAUGAAAGAGAAGGGACAUCGUCGAGGAGAAAAGAAGACCACGUACAAGCCAGACGAUCCAUACGCUGGAAUAUAUGCACACACAUACUGAAGGAUCGCAAAGGACCAAGCAGGAGAAAGAAGUAAACGUUGCUGGCGAGUCGAAAUCUUGUAUUCGCUGGACUAAGCCGAAGAUAUUUAUCAGCAGAGAUUAAAACGGGACUUUCCGUGUGUAACUGCAUAAAUUUAACUUUCCUGCUAUGUAUAUGCACCAACACAUAUCCAGAUACCGUAACUUUUCGGUCCGGUCGACGAAUACCACGAGCAGCAUCCGAGACAAGAAUUAAUAUGACAAUCUCUACGACUUAAAUCUCGAAUGGUCCUCGAACGAACAAUAUUCGAGUAUAUUGCAAGCAAUACAAAAUACUAUACUACGCUAUUUAUAACACAAAAAAUAUUAAAUUA